UACGUAGGGUGCGAGCGUUGUCCGGAAUUACUGGGCGUAAAGAGCUCGUAGGUGGUUUGUCGCGUUGUUCGUGAAAACUCACAGCUCAACUGUGGGCGUGCGGGCGAUACGGGCAGACUGGAGUACUGCAGGGGAGACUGGAAUUCCUGGUGUAGCGGUGGAAUGCGCAGAUAUCAGGAGGAACACCUGAGGUGAAGACGGGUUGCUGGGCCGACACUGACGCUGAAGCGCGAAAGCCAGGGGAGCAAACGGG
This 253-nucleotide ribosomal RNA is filed under the name uncultured bacterium. Its description in RNAcentral is "partial 16S ribosomal RNA". It matches the Rfam family "Bacterial small subunit ribosomal RNA", at positions 524 to 776 of the family's 1533-position model. The record is from RNAcentral.